This 244-nucleotide ribosomal RNA is filed under the name uncultured bacterium. Its description in RNAcentral is "partial 16S ribosomal RNA". It matches the Rfam family "Bacterial small subunit ribosomal RNA", at positions 524 to 769 of the family's 1533-position model. The record is from RNAcentral.
CACGUAGGGCGCGAGCGUGUCCGGAAUUAUUGGGCGUAAAGAGCUCGUAGGCGGCCUGUUGCGUCCGCUGUGAAAGCCCGGGGCUUAACCCCGGGUCGCAGUGGAUACGGGCAGGCUAGAGGUAGGUAGGGGAGAAUGGAAUUCCCGGUGUAGCGGUGAAAUGCGCAGAUAUCGGGAGGAACACCGGUGGCGAAGGCGGUCUGCUGGGCCAAGACUGACGCUGAGGCGCGACAGCGUGGGGGAG